AAUGGCGGAUCGAACUAACCUUUCGGUGUCCUCUUCACGGUGGAUGGUGAUGAAAGGAGAAGGAAUUCAAUGUGCGUUGAGACUCUUCCAUUUACCCCCCCCACCCUCAUCAUCCCGGAGUUUUACAAGAAAUCACAUAAUGUCGCAGUUGGUUGGGAGAGCCAUCUCAACGAUGAAAUGAGCCUGUGCUGAGGGAUCUGGCAGUCAUCACCGAUGGAGUGAAAGCUCAUCACAUCUCGAUCUUCUCCAACCCUACACCAAGCUUCUUGUGACUGAGAUCCCAAGAUGGCACAGUUCAAUGACAAU
This is a long non-coding RNA of Carcharodon carcharias (great white shark), 306 nucleotides long. RefSeq lists it as uncharacterized. The transcript is spliced from 3 exons. The record is from RefSeq and is a predicted model, not a curated record. Lineage: Eukaryota; Metazoa; Chordata; Chondrichthyes; Lamniformes; Lamnidae.